AUACGUAGGGAGCAAGCGUUAUCCGGAUUUAUUGGGGGUAAAGGGUGCGUAGACGGGAAAUUAAGUUAGUUGUGAAAUCCCUCGGCUUAACUGAGGAACUGCAACUAAAACUGGUUUUCUUGAGUGCUGGAGAGGAAAGUGGAAUUCCUAGUGGAGCGGUGAAAUGCGUAGAUAUUAGGAGGAACACCAGUGGCGAAGGCGACUUUCUGGACAGUAACUGACGUUGAUGCACGAAAGUGUGGGGAGCAAACAGGAUUAGAUACCCUGGUAGUCCACACCGUAAACGAUGGAUACUAGGUGUAGGGUGUGAUAAACAUUCUGUGCCGUCGCAAACGCAAUAAGUAUCCCACCUGGGGAGUACGGCCGCAAGGUUGAAACUCAAAUGAAUUGACGGGG
Molecule: ribosomal RNA, 396 nt
Filed under: uncultured bacterium
Lineage: Bacteria
Description: partial 16S ribosomal RNA
Rfam family: Bacterial small subunit ribosomal RNA
Source: RNAcentral